CGAGUAUUUGGGGUUGGGUCUGUAUCAGGUCAUUCAAACAACCAGCUACGUCUUUCCAUGGACCCAGCCUAACCCGCUCAGCUAGCAGGUUGGACUUGGAUCCACUAUCUAGACCCAAACAUGAAGCCCGGUCAAGCUCGGCUUGAUUCAACCUAAUCCGUUUGCAAGCCUUGAACAAAAAGAAGCACCUCAAGACAACGUUGAAAAUCCAGCAAUAAAGCUGAAAUUGAAUUCAAAUACUUGCAUAUCCAUAUCCAUAUUUAUUUUAUUUGACAAAUAUAAAUAUAGAUAUUAAUCAAACACAAAACUUCAUAUCCAUGGAUGCAGAUAUAAAUAAGAUACCGAAAGCAUGAAUAUAAAAUACGAAUAUAAAUCAAAUACUUAAAUUUUAUAGCCACAAAAUUAAAAAUAUUACUAAGUAAAUAAUAAAUCAGAUAAAUAAUACAUUAAUAUAGACAUUUAUUUUUUAACAAAAAAUUAUAAAUACUAUAUAAAAUUAAAUAAAAUUAUAAACAAAAUCAGAU
Molecule: long non-coding RNA, 524 nt
Filed under: Phoenix dactylifera (date palm)
Lineage: Eukaryota; Viridiplantae; Streptophyta; Magnoliopsida; Arecales; Arecaceae
Description: long non-coding RNA (PDAC_LNC022545)
Source: RNAcentral